AAAACAAAUUGAUAUAUUAGCCCACAAAAGCCCAUCACUUUAGAGAUUUCUCAGCGGCCCAUCACUAAACCCUAGCUUCCGCCAUUUUUCUCUAUAUAAACCACCUUCGUCUCCAUUAAGCUCAAACACUCACUCUUCUGAUCUAGGGUUUUACAGCUUUCACUUUCCUCCAUAAGAGUAAGCUUCGCCCUUUCGAUUUUACAGUUCAAUUUCUCUGUUUUGAUUUUGUUUAUUUUUGGCCUAUGAUUAAAUUUCUUAAAUAUAGACAAGCAUAUGUCUGAAUUUUCAUCAUGUUGAAUACCUAAUCUUCUCUAUGAGGCCAAUUACAUACUUUUUUUUUGUUUUUCUAUCCAGAUUUCAACUUUUUGUGCUCAAUAAUUAAAAAAAAAACAGGGUCAUAUGAUGAUUAGAAGCAUAGUUCAAAUGAGAUUUAUAUGAUUACAAAAAUUCUUUUUAGUCUUUCGCUCCUAUCUGAUGACUCUUCAUAUUAGUAUUAAAAUCUAAUUUUUAAGCCAUUGAUUGUUGUGUAUAUUGAAAAAUUGAAAUGGUUAAUGGACAAUGACGAUUUAUCUAUUUGGUCUCGUUCGUCGUAAUGGUGUUUAAAUCACCUUGCCGACCAUUCUGAUAUAUCACCACCCAUAAACUGAGUCCCAUUAUCAUACUGUUUUGUUAAUUUUUCAAUUCAAUUCACCAUUUUUUUGUGCUGUGAUGAAAAAUUCCUUGUGUCGGAGACUUAUCGUCGUUGAUGGCUUACACAACCCUCUAAGAAGUUCUGAGCACUUCUUUUUUUUGUUUUCAAUAUCAGUAUUUUAAGUGAGUAGUGAGUAAUAGUAAUUGAAUGAAGUGAAGAUAGAAUUCAUAUGUUAAUUCACUGAAUUACAUUUUUAUGAUGUUCAAAGUGAAUCUCGACAGGUUCUGAUCGUUUAUUAGUUAAUUAAUCCUCCGUUAAUUCUGAUUUUUGCUUUGUUAAUUUCUUUAUCUUAUGGGCAAAUGAUGAAAUUUUUAUAUCGUAAAUGGGUAAUUUGCGUCUGAAUCAUUCUUUGAUGUUAUCACCUUGGAGAACUGAUGCCCUUUAAAACUUUUUUUUACUUUGUAUGCCAAUUAGCAGAGCAAAGGUGUCUCUCAAAAAUGACACUCAUUUGCAUUGAAGGUUGGCUAUAUACAUAGCAAUUCUCCGUGCCUUUCAAGCUUUUUUCUUGUAUUGAUUAUGGCCUCGAACAAAUUGCUAUAUCUUAUCCCUAUACUGUUAAAUUUGUGAUACAAGCCAAUUUGCAGAGCAAUGGUGUCCUUCAAAAAUGACAGAUAUUUGCAUUGAAGGUUGGCUAUAUGUAUAGCGAUUCUCCGUGCCUUUCAAUCUUUUUUCUCGUAUUGAUUACGGCCUCGAACAAAUUGCUAUAUCCCCAAUUAUACUGAAGACGCAGCUAAUGGUAAUAUGGAAUUGGAGAUGUAGCAAUAGAAGAAUACAGAUGGAAGGCCUGAUAGUUGAUGAUUGCAAAUUGUAAAGUUGGAUUUAAGAAAUUGAAGUUUUUCACUCUAAAAGUAAUGCUCAACAAAAUGCAUUUGGAAAACGCAUUUGUUUGUGUUCAAGUUGUAUAUAUAGUUCACGAUAUUUUUUGUAGCUUCUGAACUUAAAUAUAUUUUUUGUUCAAAAUUUUUGUGUAUGUUUUUAAGUUGUUAGCUAUGUAAUCUAUUGAGCUAAGCAGCCAAAGUGACUCAUUUUGAAGGUCGAAUGUGUUGAAGUGUAGACAAAUCUCAAUUUUGUCGAUUUUGUUGAGGUAAUUUGGAUAAUCUAGAAUUUCAACGUAUUUGCUCAAAUUUUUUAUGGACGUUCGUUAAGACUUUAGCUAUGGAUUCAAUUGGCGAUCAAAACGACUCAUUUUAAAGGUCAAACGAGUUCCAAAGCGAUAAACUCCUCAUUUUGAUGAUUUUUGGUGAUGCAGAAAUCUGACAUUUUUAUCGACCAAUUGUUUUGUAAAUAUCCGUUAAGAUGUUAGCUAUGGAGCCAGUUGGUUCUAAAGGGCAAAACAUCCUAUUUUAAAGGUAAAUCAAUUUGGAUUUUUCGUGUUCUAAAAUUUUGACGUCUUUUUAUUCAAAUUUGUCAUGAAUUGUUUGUACUUUAGUUAUGGAGCCAGUUGACCUUCACGGUAAAACGAUCCAUUUUUAAGGUCAAACGUGCCCAAAGCAAGUAAAUUUCAAUUUUGUUGAUUUUCGUGAGCUAUAGUUCAUGAAUUUUUGGUAAUUUAAAAUUUUGACAUUUUUUGGCUCAAAUUUUUGUGGACAUCCAUUAAGACGUUAACUAUGUAGUCAAUUG
Molecule: long non-coding RNA, 2311 nt
Filed under: Solanum lycopersicum (tomato)
Lineage: Eukaryota; Viridiplantae; Streptophyta; Magnoliopsida; Solanales; Solanaceae
Source: RNAcentral